AAAUACUUUACUACAAGAUUGAAAGUCUGAAUUUCAGCAAUGACUCCAAUCCUGGCUACAUAUUGUGUAUUGCUAUGGAUCUCAUAUGCAGAAUCUCAGACGUUAAGUCUGACACCAUCAAAUAAUGCAGUUAAUCUAGGAGAGAGGGCAACUUUGACCUGUAAUAUUGGAGCUAAAGAUGGAAGCUGGGUGAACCUUCUAAAACAGAUACCAGGGAAUGUUCCACAGCUGAUUAUAGCUCAUCACCAUUCAGCCACCUCUCCUGUAUAUGGACCAGGGAUAUCUACAGACCGUUAUAAUGCCACCAUUAAUGAUGCAGCCACUGAGUAUCAGUUUAUCAUUAAGAGGACAGAGACAGCAGACACUGCUCAUUAUUACUGUGCGAAAUGGUUUGACAGCAUAUCAGCAUGCCACAGUGAUAAAGAGUUUGACAAGAACUGGUCAUACAAAAAAUGUCAACAAAAUAAGGAACUGGUUUAUGACUGCACAUCUACAUAUACUGAAAACCAAUCUGUCACAGAUUUUCUCUGUUGUCUCCGACUGAAUACUGACAAAUUGCUUGUUUGUGAACCCAUUACAUAUCAUCUUUUUCAUUAG
Xenopus laevis (African clawed frog) is the source of this 597-nucleotide non-coding RNA. NCBI's taxonomy places the organism in Eukaryota, Metazoa, Chordata, Amphibia, Anura, Pipidae. The record is from the annotation of a RefSeq genome assembly.